GUACUGGCAUUGUUGGUUUCUCCCUUCUGACGAACCAUGAUGUCAUUUAUUUGGUGUUGUGGGGAAUCAGGACUGUUACUUUGAAAAAAUUAGAGUGUUUAAAGCAGGCCCACGCUUGAAUACAUUAGCAUGGAAUAAUGAAAUAGGACGUUUGAUUCUAUUUUGUUGGUUUCUAGGAUCGACGUAAUGAUUAAUAGGGAUAGUUGGGGGCAUUAGUAUUCAAUUGUCAGAGGUGAAAUUCUUGGAUUUAUUGAAGACUAACUACUGCGAAAGCAUUUGCCAAGGAUGUUUUCAUUAAUCAAGAACGAAAGUUAGGGGAUCGAAGACGAUCAGAUACCGUCGUAGUCUUAACCAUAAACUAUGCCGACUAGGGAUCGGAUGAUGUUAAUUUUUUAAUGACUCAUUCGGCGCCUUACG
Molecule: ribosomal RNA, 417 nt
Filed under: uncultured Glomeromycotina
Lineage: Eukaryota; Fungi; Glomeromycota
Description: SSU rRNA
Rfam family: Eukaryotic small subunit ribosomal RNA
Source: RNAcentral